RNAcentral lists this transfer RNA (61 nucleotides) under Rattus norvegicus (Norway rat). It matches the Rfam family "tRNA". From Rfam's summary of the family: Transfer RNA (tRNA) molecules are approximately 80 nucleotides in length. Their secondary structure includes four short double-helical elements and three loops (D, anti-codon, and T loops). Further hydrogen bonds mediate the characteristic L-shaped molecular structure. tRNAs have two regions of fundamental functional importance: the anti-codon, which is responsible for specific mRNA codon recognition, and the 3' end, to which the tRNAs corresponding amino acid is attached (by aminoacyl-tRNA synthetases). tRNAs cope with the degeneracy of the genetic code in two manners: having more than one tRNA (with a specific anti-codon) for a particular amino acid; and 'wobble' base-pairing, i.e. permitting non-standard base-pairing at the 3rd anti-codon position. The record is from Rfam by way of RNAcentral. Lineage: Eukaryota; Metazoa; Chordata; Mammalia; Rodentia; Muridae.
GGGGAUUUAGCUCAGUGGUAGAGCGCUUGCCUAGCAAGCAAGCCCCUGGGCUCGAUCCUCA